UCAGACUGCACUGAGGCGCUCCUGAAGGGGCUGAGGACAAUGACAGCCUGGACAUAGCUACUGAUGAUGACAUACCAGCGGGCGUUCCUCCGAAGCUCUAGCUGCUGAAUCACUCCAGACGGAAAUGACUUCAGGACUGGCCCUUUAAAAAUCGAGCGCGCUACCGGGCAAACUCCUCCUCCAGGGAGGUUCCUUUAAAUGAGAGCCAGCUGGCUGGGCCCCCGCUUUACUCCCAAGCAAUACCUGCAAUCGAGGUUUCCUCCCCAGGAGAUAGCAGCCUGUGAGCAUGGCUCAAGCGUUCGUGAACAGCAAAAUCCAGCCUGGGAAGGUAGUUGUGUUCAUCAAGCCCACCUGCCCCUACAGCAGAAGGGCCCAGGAGCUCCUCAGCCACUUGCCCUUCAAACAAGGGCUUUUGGAAUUUGUCGAUAUCACAGCCCACGGUGACACCAACGAGAUUCAAGACUAUUUGCAACAGCUCACAGGAGCCAGAACGGUACCUCGGGUCUUCAUCGGUCAAGAGUGCAUAGGUGGAUGCAAUGAACUAGUAAAUAUGCAUGCGAAAGGGGAGCUGUUGACACGGCUAAAGCAAAUUGGAGCUCUACAAUAAUUAGAGAACAGACCCCAGGCUGAUAUCCCCCUUGAGAGCUGGAUGGCAUUGCAGAUAAUGACAGCACUUCCUGGUGGAUGGACCUGGGGCUACGUUUACCCAGCUACAGCAACUGUUUACUUAAAAGUUUGAAAUAUGUUAACGCAAAUAAAGUGGGUGGGGGGCAUUCUGGGGGCAAAAACAGCUUUUUCUUCUUUUGACUCAGUAUUAAAAGGGGACCAACUUGCCCAAAACAACAGGUCUGAGAAGUUUGAUGGAUGUCUUGGGUUUCUUGUGGAUUGGCCCUUUGGUUUCCAAAAAGACAAGAUAUGCUUAGGAUUCACUCACUGACCCAAAAGAUGUUCCUUGUCUUUGGCACGUGUUCCUUACUACGUGUUCUCUACGUGCUGGGGCUCCUCUACCUCAACACCAGUGUUUCUCAACCAAGUAUAUCCCAGACCUCCUGGGUCGAAUCUAGAGUUGGUUUUCUGCUACUGUCCAAAGAUUAUUUUGUUGAGUUUGACUUUAUAGAAUUUGUAUUAUGAAAUCAAUAGAUAUUUUGAAUCUGCUUUUUCAAAGGGUGUCUCCCUAGCCGCCAUCCCCACCCCACCUCCUACCCCCUCCUACUGCGAGAAUCACUGCUGUGAACCAGUGUUCUGAACCGUGACAACUCAUAGAUCUCAUAGGAAAUAUUCAACAAUGCCGUGAAGGGUCUGAGCACACAGUCUGAGAGACGCCACUGAAAAGUUAAGCACGGUUGGUCUUCAUUUUGGGCCACACGGAUCAGAGGUAUAAAUGCAGAUGCUAUGAUCACGUGGCAACACUCUGUUACGUAAGAUGGUUGUCCAGGGAAUCCUGAACAAGUGUGUAUUAAUUUGUUUAUAAACAAAAGUAAAACAUAAAAUUUUAAAUGUUACAUAGAAAACUUGUAUCCCCACCUCCAAGAAUAUGUCUGUGAAAGUAGCCAAAUUUGGGGAACUCUGUUCUAAAUGAUUUUCUCUCUCUCCUUUCUUUCCCCCUCACUCUAUGAAAACUUAAGAAUUACUUAUUGUGAAGGUUGUUCUAGAAUUGCAAGAUUAAGUUAAUUUCCCUCUAGAGUCUCUAGUAUGAAUGGUUAAUUUCUUCUCUAAUAAAGAAGUACCCAUGGAUCACA
This is an RNA transcript of Balaenoptera musculus (blue whale), 1739 nucleotides long. It is a transcript of the gene named glutaredoxin, with no coding region annotated. NCBI's taxonomy places the organism in Eukaryota, Metazoa, Chordata, Mammalia, Artiodactyla, Balaenopteridae. The record is from RefSeq and is a predicted model, not a curated record. The transcript is spliced from 4 exons.